UUAAGUUAAUAAGGGCGCACGGUGGAUGCCUUGGCACUAGGAGCCGACGAAGGACGUGACAAACGACGAUAUGCCUUGGGUAGCUGUAAGUAAGCGAUGAUCCAGGGAUUUCCGAAUGGGGGAACCCAACAGGUAAUACCUGUUACCUACAUCUGUUAAGGAUGUGAGGAGGAAGACGCAGUGAACUGAAACAUCUAAGUAGCUGCAGGAAGAGAAAGCAAAAGCGAUUGCCUUAGUAGCGGCGAGCGAAACGGCAGAAGGGCAAACCGAAGAGUUUACUCUUCGGGGUUGUAGGACUGCAAUGUGGACUCAAAGAUUAUAGAAGAAUGAUUUGGGAAGAUCAGCCAAAGAGAGUAAUAGCCUCGUAUUUAAAAUAGUCUUUGUACUUAGCAGUAUCCUGAGUACGGCGGGACACGUGAAAUCCCGUCGGAAUCUGGGAGGACCAUCUCCCAACCCUAAAUACUCCCUAGUGACCGAUAGUGAACCAGUACCGUGAGGGAAAGGUGAAAAGCACCCCGGGAGGGGAGUGAAAUAGAACCUGAAACCGUGUGCCUACAACAAGUUCGAGCCCGUUAAUGGGUGAGAGCGUGCCUUUGUAGAAUGAACCGGCGAGUUACGUUAUGAUGCGAGGUUAAGUUGAAGAGACGGAGCCGUAGGGAAACCGAGUCUGAAUAGGGCGCCUUAGUAUCAUGACGUAGACCCGAAACCAUGUGACCUACCCAUGAGCAGGUUGAAGGUGCGGUAAGACGCACUGGAGGACCGAACCAGGGCACGUUGAAAAGUGCUUGGAUGACUUGUGGGUAGCGGAGAAAUUCCAAACGAACUUGGAGAUAGCUGGUUCUCUCCGAAAUAGCUUUAGGGCUAGCGUCGACAUUAGAGAUUCUUGGAGGUAGAGCACUGUUUGGGUGAGGGGUCCAUCCCGGAUUACCAAUCUCAGAUAAACUCCGAAUGCCAAUGAAUUAUGGUCGGCAGUCAGACUGCGAGUGCUAAGAUCCGUAGUCGAAAGGGAAACAGCCCAGACCACCAGCUAAGGUCCCAAAAUAAUUGUUAAAGUGGAAAAAGGAUGUGGGGUUGCACAGACAACUAGGAUGUUAGCUUAGAAGCAGCUAUUCAUUCAAAGAGUGCGUAAUAGCUCACUAGUCGAGUGACCCUGCGCCGAAAAUGUACCGGGGCUAAAACAAUUUACCGAAGCUGUGGAUACCUUUAUAGGUAUGGUAGGAGAGCGUUCUAUGUGUGAUGAAGGUAUACCGUGAGGAGUGCUGGAACGCAUAGAAGUGAGAAUGCCGGUAUGAGUAGCGAAAGACAGGUGAGAAUCCUGUCCACCGUAAGACUAAGGUUUCCAGGGGAAGGCUCGUCCGCCCUGGGUUAGUCGGGACCUAAGGAGAGACCGAAAGGUGUAUCCGAUGGACAACAGGUUGAUAUUCCUGUACUAGAGUAUGUAGUGAUGGAGGGACGCAGUAGGCUAACUAAAGCAGACGAUUGGAAGAGUCUGUCUAAGCAGUGAGGUGUGAAUUGAGUCAAAUGCUUAAUUCUAUAACAUUGAGCUGUGAUGGGGAGCGAAGUUUAGUAGCGAAGUUAGUGACGUCACACUGCCAAGAAAAGCUUCUAGCGUUUAAACAUACUCUACCCGUACCGCAAACCGACACAGGUAGUCGAGGCGAGUAGCCUCAGGUGAGCGAGAGAACUCUCGUUAAGGAACUCGGCAAAAUGACCCCGUAACUUCGGGAGAAGGGGUGCUGACUUUAAGUCAGCCGCAGUGAAUAGGCCCAAGCAACUGUUUAUCAAAAACACAGCUCUCUGCUAAAUCGUAAGAUGAUGUAUAGGGGGUGACGCCUGCCCGGUGCUGGAAGGUUAAGAGGAGUGCUUAGCGUAAGCGAAGGUAUGAAUUGAAGCCCCAGUAAACGGCGGCCGUAACUAUAACGGUCCUAAGGUAGCGAAAUUCCUUGUCGGGUAAGUUCCGACCCGCACGAAAGGCGUAAUGAUUUGGGCACUGUCUCAACGAGAGACUCGGUGAAAUUUUAGUACCUGUGAAGAUGCAGGUUACCCGCGACAGGACGGAAAGACCCCAUGGAGCUUUACUGCAGUUUGAUAUUGAGUGUCUGUACCACAUGUACAGGAUAGGUAGGAGUCUAAGAGAUCGGGACGCCAGUUUCGAAGGAGACGCUGUUGGGAUACUACCCUUGUGUUAUGGCCACUCUAACCCAGAUAGGUGAUCCCUAUCGGAGACAGUGUCUGACGGGCAGUUUGACUGGGGCGGUCGCCUCCUAAAAGGUAACGGAGGCGCCCAAAGGUUCCCUCAGAAUGGUUGGAAAUCAUUCGCAGAGUGUAAAGGUAUAAGGGAGCUUGACUGCGAGAGCUACAACUCGAGCAGGGACGAAAGUCGGGCUUAGUGAUCCGGUGGUUCCGUAUGGAAGGGCCAUCGCUCAACGGAUAAAAGCUACCCUGGGGAUAACAGGCUUAUCUCCCCCAAGAGUUCACAUCGACGGGGAGGUUUGGCACCUCGAUGUCGGCUCGUCGCAUCCUGGGGCUGUAGUCGGUCCCAAGGGUUGGGCUGUUCGCCCAUUAAAGCGGCACGCGAGCUGGGUUCAGAACGUCGUGAGACAGUUCGGUCCCUAUCCGUCGCGGGCGUAGGAAAUUUGAGAGGAUCUGCUCCUAGUACGAGAGGACCAGAGUGGACUUACCGCUGGUGUACCAGUUGUCUUGCCAAAGGCAUCGCUGGGUAGCUAUGUAGGGAAGGGAUAAACGCUGAAAGCAUCUAAGUGUGAAACCCACCUCAAGAUGAGAUUUCCCAUGAUUAUAUAUCAGUAAGAGCCCUGAGAGAUGAUCAGGUAGAUAGGUUAGAAGUGGAAGUGUGGCGACACAUGUAGCGGACUAAUACUAAUAGCUCGAGGACUUAUCCAA
This 2901-nucleotide ribosomal RNA is filed under the name Streptococcus pneumoniae GA44378. Its description in RNAcentral is "bacterial LSU rRNA". It matches the Rfam family "Bacterial large subunit ribosomal RNA". The record is from RNAcentral. Lineage: Bacteria; Bacillati; Bacillota; Bacilli; Lactobacillales; Streptococcaceae.